This 1443-nucleotide ribosomal RNA is filed under the name metagenome. RNAcentral's name for it is "bacterial SSU rRNA". It matches the Rfam family "Bacterial small subunit ribosomal RNA". The record is from RNAcentral.
AGAGUUUGAUCCUGGCUCAGGAUGAACGCUGGCGGCGUGCUUAACACAUGCAAGUCGAACGAUCCUUCGGGAUAGUGGCGGACGGGUGAGUAACGCGUGGGAAUCUGCCCUCAGGAGGGGGAUAACGGCUGGAAACGGCCGCUAAUACCCCAUAUGCCGAGAGGUGAAAUGAAUUUCGCCUGAGGAUGAGCCCGCGUCUGAUUAGCUAGUUGGUGGGGUAAAGGCCUACCAAGGCGACGAUCAGUAGCUGGUCUGAGAGGAUGAUCAGCCACACUGGGACUGAGACACGGCCCAGACUCCUACGGGAGGCAGCAGUGGGGAAUUUUCCGCAAUGGGCGAAAGCCUGACGGAGCAACGCCGCGUGAGGGAUGAAGGCCUCUGGGCUGUAAACCUCUUUUCUCAAGGAAGAAGAACUGACGGUACUUGAGGAAUAAGCCACGGCUAAUUCCGUGCCGGCAGCCGCGGUAAUACGGGAGUGGCAAGCGUUAUCCGGAAUUAUUGGGCGUAAAGCGUCCGCAGGCGGCCUUGUAAGUCUGUUGUUAAAGCGUGGAGCUCAACUCCAUUUAAGCAAUGGAAACUACAAGGCUGGAGUGUGGUAGGGGCAGAGGGAAUUCCCGGUGUAGCGGUGAAAUGCGUAGAUAUCGGGAAGAACACCAGUGGCGAAGGCGCUCUGCUGGGCCAUAACUGACGCUCAUGGACGAAAGCCAGGGGAGCGAAAGGGAUUAGAUACCCCUGUAGUCCUGGCCGUAAACGAUGAACACUAGGUGUCGGGGGAAUCGACCCCCUCGGUGUCGUAGCCAACGCGUUAAGUGUUCCGCCUGGGGAGUACGCACGCAAGUGUGAAACUCAAAGGAAUUGACGGGGGCCCGCACAAGCGGUGGAGUAUGUGGUUUAAUUCGAUGCAACGCGAAGAACCUUACCAGGGUUUGACAUCCUGCGAAUCCCUUGGAAACGAGGGAGUGCCUUCGGGAGCGCAGUGACAGGUGGUGCAUGGCUGUCGUCAGCUCGUGUCGUGAGAUGUUGGGUUAAGUCCCGCAACGAGCGCAACCCACGUCUUUAGUUGCCAGCAUUCAGUUGGGCACUCUAGAGAGACCGCCGGUGAUAAACCGGAGGAAGGUGUGGAUGACGUCAAGUCAUCAUGCCCCUUACAUCCUGGGCUACACACGUACUACAAUGCUACGGACAAAGGGCAGCAAGCUCGCGAGAGUUAGCAAAUCCCAUAAACCGUCGCUCAGUUCAGAUCGUAGGCUGCAACUCGCCUACGUGAAGGAGGAAUCGCUAGUAAUCGCAGGUCAGCAUACUGCGGUGAAUACGUUCCCGGGCCUUGUACACACCGCCCGUCACACCAUGGAAGUUGGCCAUGACCGAAGUCGUUACUCCAACCCUUGUGGAGGAGGACGCCGAAGGUGGGGCUGAUGACUGGGGUGAAGUCGUAACAAGGUA